RNAcentral lists this ribosomal RNA (492 nucleotides) under uncultured bacterium. RNAcentral's name for it is "partial 16S ribosomal RNA". It matches the Rfam family "Bacterial small subunit ribosomal RNA", at positions 29 to 507 of the family's 1533-position model. The record is from RNAcentral.
AUUGAACGCUGGCGGCAUGCUUUACACAUGCAAGUCGAACGGUAACACGCCUUCCGGUCCUGACGCGUGGCGCACGCGGGUGUGAUGUAUCUGAACGUACCCCGAGUUGGGGGGGAACGCAGGGAAAGCUGUGUAAUAACAGCACGUAAGACGAGAAUGAGAGCGGGGGGGAGAGCAGCAAUGCUUGGUCUCGCGGCUUUGGAGCGGCGGAUGGCGGGUUAGCUAGUUGGUGGGGUAAAGGCGUACCAAGGCGACGAUCCGUAGCUGGUCUGAGAGGACGACCAGCCACACUGGGACUGAGACACGGCCCAGACUCCUACGGGAGGCAGCAGUGGGGAAUUUUGGACAAUGGGCGCAAGCCUGAUCCAGCAAUGCCGCGUGUGGGAUGAAGGCCUUCGGGUUGUAAAGCACUUUUGGCGGGAACGAAACGGUGUGCGCUAAUACCACGCGUUAAUGACGGUACCUGCAGAAUAAGCACCGGCUAACUACGUG